Molecule: ribosomal RNA, 253 nt
Filed under: uncultured bacterium
Lineage: Bacteria
Description: partial 16S ribosomal RNA
Rfam family: Bacterial small subunit ribosomal RNA
Source: RNAcentral
UACGUAGGGGGCAAGCGUUGUCCGGAAUCAUUGGGCGUAAAGCGCGUGUAGGCGGCUCGGUAAGUCCGCUCUGAAAGUCCAGGGCUCAACCCUGGGAUGCGGGUGGAUACUGCCGAGCUCGAGUCCGGAAGAGGCGAGUGGAAUUCCUGGUGUAGCGGUGAAAUGCGCGGAUAUCAGGAAGAACACCCGUGGCGAAGGCGGCUCUCUGGGACGGUACUGACGCUGAGACGCGAAAGCGUGGGGAGCGAACAGG